Molecule: small nuclear RNA, 107 nt
Organism: Vulpes vulpes (red fox)
Lineage: Eukaryota; Metazoa; Chordata; Mammalia; Carnivora; Canidae
Source: Ensembl
GUGCUCACUUUGGCCACGCAUCUAUUAAAAUUGGAAUGAUACAGAAAAGAUUAGCAUGGCCCCUGCAUUAGGAUGACACACAAAUUCAUGAAGUGUUCUAUAUUUUU